GAAACGCGAUAGUUAAUGUGAAUUGCAGAAUUCAGUGAAUCAUCGAGUCUUUGAACGCACAUUGCGCCCAUAGGUAUUCCUUUGGGCAUGUCUGUUUGAGCGUCAUUACAACCCUCAGCUAACCGCUGGUUUUGAACCUGAACGGGUGACACCGCGCCGGUUUUAAAGUUGUAAGCUCUGCUGGCCGCUCUGCCCAACCAGAACAUAGUAAGCACUACUUGUCCGGGUGAAGCUGAACGGUACGGCCUGAACAAAACCUACCCACUCUCAAGGUUUGACCUAAGAUCAGACAAGGCUACCCGCUGAACUUAAGC
Molecule: unclassified non-coding RNA, 314 nt
Filed under: plant metagenome
Description: partial contains 5.8S ribosomal RNA, internal transcribed spacer 2, and large subunit ribosomal RNA
Rfam family: 5.8S ribosomal RNA (bases 1-105)
Source: RNAcentral